GCUCAGGAGACACAGGAAGUUUUUAACGGUUAGCGGUCUUCAGCUAGCGAGCAGAGCCGUUGAGAUAUGGCUGUAUUUUGUUUAUUCUCUUUCCAAGUUGGUUUGAGCAGCAUUUCACCGAUGGCAUUGUCGAAGAAUUGAAAUCUGGAGCGCCAAGAGGAGCAUUUUUAAAAAGGUUGCAACACAGAGACCGCGAGAGUCACAGAAAAGCAGUGAUGGCUCCUGAAGUGAGUUUUCCUGACGCACCGCUCAGCGUUCUUCUUGGCCAGCACAGCCUGCUGUCGUUUCCUUUAGGACAAA
Long non-coding RNA from Hippocampus comes (tiger tail seahorse), 300 nucleotides. RefSeq lists it as uncharacterized. The transcript has 3 exons. Lineage: Eukaryota; Metazoa; Chordata; Actinopteri; Syngnathiformes; Syngnathidae. The record is from RefSeq and is a predicted model, not a curated record.